RNAcentral lists this ribosomal RNA (444 nucleotides) under uncultured bacterium. RNAcentral describes it as "partial 16S ribosomal RNA". It matches the Rfam family "Bacterial small subunit ribosomal RNA", at positions 338 to 795 of the family's 1533-position model. The record is from RNAcentral.
CCUACGGGAGGCAGCAGUGGGGAAUAUUGGGCAAUGGAGGCAACUCUUACCCAGCAAUGCCGCGUGAAUGAAGAAGGUCUUCGGAUUGUAAAGUUCUUUAAUUGGGGACGAAAAAAAUGACGGUACCCAAGGAAUAAGCCCCGGCUAACUACGUGCCAGCAGCCGCGGUAAUACGUAGGGGGCAAUGCUUGUUCGGAAUGACUGGGCGUAAAGGGUGUGUAGGCGAUGUAGCAAGUUAGAAGUGAAAUACCUAGGGCUUAACUCAGGUGCUGCUUCUAAAACUGCUAUACUUGAGUGCAGUAGAGGAAAGUGGAAUUCCUGGUGUAGCGGUGAAAUGCGUAGAUAUCAGGAGGAACACCGGUGGCGAAGGCGACCUGCUGGACUGCAACUGACGUUGAGGCCCGAAAGCGUGGGGAGCAAACAGGAUUAGAUACCCCUGUAGUC